UCGCAUAAAGCCUGCCUAUUCACGGGUAGCAGCAAACAGUCUGCAUUCACCCGAUGCGCAGUACACGAGAAAAAGUGUCAGCUAGAGUUAGUUCUGCUUUGUGUCCAGCAUGAAGACAACCUACAUCUUUCAGCUGCUGAUCCUGGCGGGAUUUAUCCACCUCAGUGUCCAGUGGAGCGGUAGUGUAUGUUCACGAAGAAUCUGCGAGUACAGGUUGGAGUAUCGGUGUGCGUACAGAACAUGGAGAGCAUGCUGCUAUUAUAAGCGGUACAAAGUGCCGGACUGUCGGACUGUCUAUUUCUGCUGCCCUGGAUGGCGAGUUUCCACCAAUGAGAAAUGUGACGUGGCAAUCUGCAACCCCCCAUGCUUGAACGGAGGUAGUUGUGUAACCCCCAACAGGUGUCAGUGUGGUGAUGGUGCUGUGGGACCAACGUGUAACUCGUUGGUGUGCAACUAUCAGCGGCCCUGUUUCCCCGGGACAUGCACCUCUCUCGGCAGCAACAACGUCAACUGUGACUGUUCAUCAGGCUUCCGGUCUCCGCCAAGUGGCCCUGGCGAUUAUUGUAGAGAAUUGGAGUCAGAUCAACGACCAGUUAUCUUUGAGGUGCAAGCAAGAUUUGGAUUUUGGAUGAGAGGAACAGGAAGAACGCCCAUGGAAAAGUAUUCAUUGUAUGUGGACUCGACAAACUCCACCGAUAUUGACUUCGUGUGGACAAACAGGAAAAUGUUCAACCAGUUGAACAUCAAUGCAUCAGCUCAGUAUAUGGCUGAAAACAUCACUGCGUCGCCAUUCUUUGUCAAGGAUUACGGACUUGGCAUUGCUCGUGCUGAAGCUCGUCUGUAUCAUGAGAAAAUACCUUACACAGGGUCGUAUUUUACAACGGCACAAGUCAGCCUUGACCAGACUAUACCCUGUGAACCUGCAGUCUCGAGUGGACAACCAACUGAUGAAUCCUACAUCUGUGAUAUUGACAAACCCAAUUAUGACCGAUCUCUCGAAAAUGGCGACAAGUUGACCAUUACAUUCAAAGUGUGGAGUGGAGGUUACCGACAACUGAGGGAGUUUACUGGAAAUCAGUUCGUUGAUCGACAGUUUCAAAACUUUAUAGGACAAAAUUCGGAGAAAACCAUGGCUUACCGUUUUGACUUCCUGACACCAACUCACACAUGUCUCGAAAUAGGAUCGAGGUGUACUUCCGUCUUUUCAUUGGAUGAUGAUAUCACAAAGGGUUCUGUCAUUCUCCGCUGGUCCAACUGGACUGACGUACCGUCAGGCAUGCAUCGCUACGCCUGGGAGGUUUUCCGGCUACAGGUGGAUGAGAAUCAGGUGCUGAAGGAGUUUGAACCCUUGAUGCCCAUACAUGGUCCUAUUGAAGUCAAUCAGUCAUCAUCUGCCUCAAACUCCUUCCAGGCCACCUACAGGCCUUCACAGUCUGGAGUUUACUCCUUCAUCCUGGAGGCCUCAGACAAGGCCAAUAACUCUAUCUUUGUAAGAAGGAUCGCCAUAUACGACCCUGUUUCUAGUGUUACUAUAGAUGAAGGGGCAGAUAACCGACUUUACAUAUCAUCCGCUGAUCCUAGAGGGGGAUACAACUGGCAAGACGAUCCUUCUAGACCCGUCACGGUCACAUGGACCAACCACUUUGUCAACCUGAGGCAUGAGGAGGGCAAGUGGUUAAAUGAAGUCCUUGCCUACCCCCCACAGCUCGAGGACUUCUUGAAAGACAUCCCUAAAGACUCCGGACAGGAUGACCACGAAGGACAGAGGACAGUAGACGCAAUACCAAACAGGAGAGGUGUUGUCAAGUUUGAGGUUGUUGUUAGGAAGGACAGUAAUGGUGGCAAGAAUCAGCAGGAACCAACCUCAGGCUGGGUGGAUGUCGGACUCAAUGAAACAUACAUUAUACCUGCAGGUUCACACGGAGCUCCAUUGACGAACAGAGACACAGUGACAGUUUGGGUGAGAGCUACAGAUGUCCUAGGUAACACCCGGGUAAAUUUUACCAGGGUUCACUUUGAUGAUACACCACCUGAAGUCGAGCAGCCUGUGUUCCGGAGGAACAUCCAGACCAACAAUGUUCCAUUUAGUUCCACUGUUGAAGUCAAUGUUCGGGAUAUGCAGAGUGGUCUGAAACGUGUGAACCUUUUCGUCAGGAAAGUGAGCAACAAUCUAAUGAUUGUUAAUGAAACUUUGCCUCUCAGAACCAUUGAUGCGUGUGACAGCUUUUCAACGUGUUACUGUACCACCGUCAAUCCAGUCUGCUUCAACAAGACACAGUUUCUGCCCAUCAGCAACUGCUGGUUAAAACACCCAAUGUUGGAAUCACAGACGGUGACAAUGGACAUGGAUUUUGUGAACAUGGCGGGCAUCCAUACAACAAAGAGCUUCACUGUGGAUAAACUAGAUACACUGAAUGGAACACAAGGAUCGCUAGCACCUGUAGACGUGACUGUCACAAAGACAGAAACGAACUUAGUGACGCUGACGUGGAAACACUCCCCUAGUUGUUACAGCCGGACAGAGAUGUGGAUCAACUACGAGGUGAAUGGACAGACGGUGACGACCCUAAUGCACAAGACAGCCACCUCCCACACUCUGGUCGGCCUCCAGCCAGACACAACCUACACCAUCGUGGUCAUCUCCCAGUAUGGGGAGUUCAAGAGCAGGGCUGUCCCGGUGACCGCCACAACAGGUAAUAGUUUUAGUGUUCGUGAAGCUUUCGAAGAAUAAACGCAAUGCAUCAGCCACCUCUGUGGUCUUCCAGUCAGGAACAGUCACUACUUUUGAACUCAUCUCUUACAACGGGAAGGUCUUUUCGUUCUGUAAUGUUAAGAACCCAAUAUUCUGUUCUUCUGCAUUGCUAACCGUGAUUUUAAGUAAAGAUACAUGAAUAAACGUAAUUAAUUAAUACAUUUGUGUUUACUGCAUAUGUGUCUAGCUGCUCACAUAUGGAGUUAAAGGUUUAGAAGUUCUAAAACUUUUAACCCAAGUUAAACAAAUUGUUAUAUUUUGAUAAUGGUAUCAUAGUUUACCGCUGCAUGCGAUUGUUUGUGCAUAUAUAUUGUCAGACUACCUGUUACAUAUGUUUGUGUGAUCGGUGCGUUUGAUGGUCUGUAGAGCAUGUGUGUCGCUGUGGUUAAAAGUGAGUGUUUGGUCUGUGAGAUAUCAGCUUUCAGCUUGGGACACCUUACACUAUCCAAAGUGUCAACAUGCAGCUGUGACGUUUACGACAGUUAACAAUUCUAUUUAUUGUAAAGUAUUACUUACAUACGAAUAAACUAAAAUCCCUCUUAAUUCAGUCUUUUGAUAAUUAAUUCAUAUUGUGUAAAUAUUUGUAACCAAAUGAUGCCAUAUCUGUUAUUUCUAUUUUCAGCAUAUGGAUAUACAGAUGAUUUCUUCACAACAUAGUUACUCUAUGAAGGUGUUGAGGAAUCAAAACAUGUAUCUAUCAAACGCACUUAUGAACUGGAAUAUCACUUCUUCUAAAUGGAAUAUUGUUCCCAAUAACAAGAAGGAUGUAGUACUUUUAAUUUUUAACUACAUUACCCUGUAUCUCUAAUGCGAUUUUAUUAUGUUAUUAAUGUUUUAUUGGUAAUCGAUGUUCAAAAUGGUAGAAAUAGAUUGAUAAAAUAGUAAGAUGUAUUUGAAAACCCUCUAUACAUUCACGCUAUACCAUAUCAUCGCAGAGAACCGAGCAUUGGUCCAAAGCUGUGUUUCAUAAUUUGCAUCCAUCACUGACAUAUUUCAGGUUAAUUCCAUGUUUCCAGUCAACGUGAUAGGUGUCAUUCUUAACACCAUGGGUUUGAUUUCACUGGUCCAGAUCUUUCAGAGGGGAUAUCAACUAUGUGACAUGUCGGUGGUGGAUAGCCGGAUGGGUGAUGGGUGCCAGGCAAUUAUAUGAACGCUAAGCUGGUCGUCAACCUGACCAGACACGACUCCCAGUGCUACACAACUUUAGGCCAAUCUUGUUGUCUUGACUGCUGCAACAAGCACCGGCAAGAUAGUGACCGAUGGGGCUCUGACAAGAAUAUUAUAUUGACAAAUGCACCGACUAAUAUAAGGAUAUAAUUUGGGGAUAAUUAUCUAUCUCUUCUCCAUUUUGUGAUAUGACAAGCAUUUACCUCCAGCAUUGUUAGUGCAAAUAAAUUUGUAAAGACACA
This 4161-nucleotide unclassified non-coding RNA is filed under the name Haliotis rufescens (red abalone). RNAcentral's name for it is "uncharacterized LOC124142650, transcript variant X1". Lineage: Eukaryota; Metazoa; Mollusca; Gastropoda; Lepetellida; Haliotidae. The record is from RNAcentral.